GAUGAACGCUGGCGGCGUGCCUAAUACAUGCAAGUCGAGCGAACAGACGAGGAGCUUGCUCCUCUGACGUUAGCGGCGCACGGGUGUGUCACACGUGGAUCCCCUACCUAUAAGAGUGGGAUCACUUCGGGACACCGGCGCUAAUACCGGAUAAUAUAUUGAACCGCAUGGUUCAAUAGUGAAAGUCGGUUUUUCGGGAACUUAUAGCUGGAUACGGGCGGGAUUAGCUAGUUGGUGAGGUAACAGGUUACCAAGGCAACGAUGCGUAGCCGAGGUGAGAGGGUGAUCGGCGACACUGGAACGGAGACACGCACCAUACUCCUGCGGUAGGCAGCAGUAGGGAAUCGUCCGCAAUGGGGGAAAGCAUGACGGAGCGACGCGGCGUGAGUGAUGAAGGUGUUGGGAGCGUAAAACUCUGUUAUUAGUGGAGAACAAAUGUGUAAGUAACUGUGCACGUCGUGACGGUACCUAAUCAGAAAGCCACGGCUAACUACGUG
RNAcentral lists this ribosomal RNA (497 nucleotides) under uncultured bacterium. RNAcentral's name for it is "partial 16S ribosomal RNA". It matches the Rfam family "Bacterial small subunit ribosomal RNA", at positions 28 to 507 of the family's 1533-position model. The record is from RNAcentral.